UAUUAGUGAACACGUGGAGGGUGGUCCUACAUAAUACUACCGAAUAGUGAUGGUACCUUCCCACAUCCUCCACUUUGAGGAUGUGAGUGAAUGUGGAUAGCAUCACAUCAAUGCACGUUAUGGAUAUCAGGAAGGAACAAUCAACAAAAUCAUCCCAAAUAUCUCGUAAAUCUUUUACAGCCGUGCCUAGACGAUCUUUUACUUAUUAACAACGCAUAAUGAGGGCUUGUUACACACUUAACUAACACAGGAUAACAUAAUUUUCAACACCUAUAUCGGUGAGUUGUAAAGUGCCCUGUAGCUUUGGGGAAAUUCACUCGGGGAAUGGGAUAGCUUCUCGGCAGACCAAAAUUCAGGUACAUCUGUGCGUCGUAACAGCACUGGGGGUGGAAGAAAAAGAAAAAUAAACGCGCCACCUAUAGGUCAAGGAUCGUAUCUGAGGAAAGAGUAAUGGAAGUUGACAGUUGAAGGGUCGAGCAGAGAAAGUAGGGUCCGAGUGUCGAGGCAGAAUAGCAUUCGCUUUUUUUCGUCUUGGACACUGAGCCAACUGGUAGCUUCUAGUGAAGCUCAGGAAGUAGAUUCGGAAAAGUGCGCGAGCUUGCUAAAAAGAGAAAGAAAAGCAGUCAGCAAAGAAACUCCACUGCUAAAUUGGGGCAGAUCCGCGGUCGGAACUUUUGCUACCCCUUAGGUUUGGCGCCCCAGCCUCAGUUAAAUCUCAAGGCAAAGAGCACCGCUUCAACAUAAAUCCACCUGGCAAGGGGAAGGCACAGCAGAGGGGAACCCUAAACAAGGGGAACCUAGAGCACAGCAGAGGCGAUAAUAAUUCGGCUAAGGCUGGCCUACCCGAAUCUCAGUGUAAUCUCAAGGCAAAAGAGCACCGCUUCAACAUAAAUGCACCUGGCAAGGGGAAUGCAAAGCAGAGGGGAACCACAAACAAGGGGCAGCUAGAGCGAAACAGAGACGAGAAUAAUUCGACCAAGGCUGGCCUUACUAGCUGAGGAAAGAGACAGUUGCCGUUGGGAAGCAGCACGUCGCGUAUCGCGAGCAGAUCAAAAGAAAACGAAAACCAAUUUUCGAUCAAACUUUUUUUUGUAAACGGAAGAACCCUUCGUCUCAGUGCCGCAGUGUCAUAGAACUCCAGUGGUUGAACCGAAACCGAAAAGCCAGAGCGAGUUAGCGAAAAGGUAGCGGGAUCGGCUCAAAUUUUCAGUCGAACGCAGAAGGAGAGAGAGUGCGAGUGGACGGGAAAGGAGAAAAGAAUAGGAAGAGGAAGUAGAGCAAAUGAGUAAAAUAAUGAAUUUAUAAUAAGCUAAAGAAAAAAAAACCAUACCUAUUAAUUCCACUGCAAAGGGGUAAGGGGGAUUUCGUUGUGCUCUUCUAGGGCGAGUGUGAGUGCAAGUGCCAGUUUACACAUACAGGUACAAACAAAAAAAAUAAAAAUAAAUAAAUGAAAAACUCUUAAUCCCCUCACUAAGAUGUAUCAGCUGGCAUCGAGAAAGCGCUUUCGCCGAUGGACCGCAACACAACUAAAGAAACAAAAAUAUUUGAUGGAACCGCCCUUACAGCCCACGCAUGGAGGGCUGUACAGUACACAAAUUAAUAACUACCGGCAAUAAUCAACACAUUUUUCUUGAAUAAUACUUAUUAAAUAAAUAAAAUAGUGCGGCA
Long non-coding RNA from Drosophila miranda, 1668 nucleotides. RefSeq lists it as uncharacterized. The transcript is spliced from 3 exons. Lineage: Eukaryota; Metazoa; Arthropoda; Insecta; Diptera; Drosophilidae. The record is from RefSeq and is a predicted model, not a curated record.